Molecule: ribosomal RNA, 373 nt
Filed under: Hyphopichia homilentoma
Lineage: Eukaryota; Fungi; Ascomycota; Pichiomycetes; Serinales; Debaryomycetaceae
Description: eukaryotic LSU rRNA
Rfam family: 5.8S ribosomal RNA (bases 56-206)
Source: RNAcentral
UGAGUAUUCUAUAACUUAACACACAAUUAAUUAGUCAACACAAACAUAACCUCAAAACUUUCAACAACGGAUCUCUUGGUUCUCGCAUCGAUGAAGAACGCAGCGAAAUGCGAUAAGUAAUAUGAAUUGCAGAUUGUGAAUCAUCGAAUCUUUGAACGCACAUUGCACCGUGUGGCAUUCCACACGGUAUGCCUGUUUGAGCGUGGUUUCUCUCUCAGCCCGCGUUCCUUUUUUUAAGGAGCUUGGGCUGGCGGUGAGCGGCACACGAGUGUUUGCUUGAAAGCUAGUACGACUGAUAGUACACUUUACACAAACUCCCCCUCAAAUCAGGUAGGACUACCCGCUGAACUUAAGCAUAUCAAUAAGCGGAGGA